AAGUCAGUGACCUAACCGUAAGGAAGGAGCUGCCGAAGGCGGGACUGAUAACUGGGGUGAAGUCGUAACAAGGUAGCCGUAUCGGAAGGUGCGGCUGGAUCACCUCCUUUCUAAGGAA
This 118-nucleotide ribosomal RNA is filed under the name Clostridiaceae bacterium AF42-6. RNAcentral's name for it is "partial 16S ribosomal RNA". It matches the Rfam family "Bacterial small subunit ribosomal RNA", at positions 1424 to 1533 of the family's 1533-position model. Lineage: Bacteria; Bacillati; Bacillota; Clostridia; Eubacteriales; Clostridiaceae. The record is from RNAcentral.